UUGCCAAUGAUGGUUAUGAAUUUCUUCACCUGAACAAACCAUGUGGCCAUGAUUUAUCUGAGGCAAA
Molecule: small nucleolar RNA, 67 nt
Organism: Catagonus wagneri (Chacoan peccary)
Lineage: Eukaryota; Metazoa; Chordata; Mammalia; Artiodactyla; Tayassuidae
Source: Ensembl